GUACAGCUGGGUGGGUUUUCCAAUGCCGUGUUGGUUUUCUUAAACCAGCCCCAAAACUGCAUUCACCCAGUGCCCAGCCUCCCUCAGGAAGUAAUGGGCACAGCCAGAGCUGUCCUGCCUGGUACCUUGUUGCAAUGAUUUUGUUUCCAUUUGUUGUCUUGUGCAAUCAUUUAUUUUCUUGUUGUUUUACUGUUCUCUUUAGUCCUCUUACACUUCAAAGGCUGUGCUGAGGUCAGAUGAAUGCCUGGCCUUCCUGGAUAACAGGCAGUCUAUCUCGAGAACUUUCUGUGAUUCAGUGCCAUUAGAUGUAGCUGUUGUCAAAUGUAGCCGAGGUCCUGAAGGCAACCACAGAAAACUUCUGUUGGAAGGAACCUCUGAAGGUCACCCGGCCCAAUGCCUGCUGACAGUGCAGAUGUGGUGACCUGGACACCUCUGGGCUGGAUGGGGCUGAAGAGGACCUGCUCAAGGAGCAGAGUAGAUCUUUAGUUCAUACUUGCUAAUACCUUACACUGCUGAACUUUGCAGUUUUGAAGAAAUACAGUGAUCAAAACAGAUUUAGGAUGGAAUUUAUCCUUUAAUCACUUUCCCCCCUGCUUCAGUCACGUUGGGUGUAGGGUAUAAAGGGUGCUACCCCCCACAUCCUUUUUUCUGUUUUGACUGGAAGACAUUGGCAGCAAAGGACGAUCCCGUUUGUACAGCGCCUGCAGCUGCCGCAGAGAUGCAAAGGCUGAGCCCCUCCUGGAACGCAGGCUGCCCUUCCUGGCACCACCACAGCUUGUGCUGUUCCCGCUCCCGGGCUCAGCUUUCAUUCUUGUGCCACCUUGCCCGUUUCAGGUCCAAGCAAUUCCAACCACCUACGAAAAAAAGCACACCACCGUGCUAAGGAAUGAAGCACAGAAGCAAGAUUCCUGAGCAUGUCUGCAGGGAUACAAAAUGGAAUUUUAGAUAUGGAAUGAUUUCCAGCUUGGCAGCUACAUUACAAGGUAAAGCUGCUUUGUCACUCACGCCUGGAUAUCAUGGAUGCUCUGUAUGAUAUAGCAAGAGAGACUGUUCCUGCCAUGCAUAUUUUGCUGGGGCUUAUGACUCCUUGGAAACAGGCACUUUGUUUCCACAUCUUAUGGAUGAGGGGAUAUGUUUUUCAUAUUAACACUGCCAAAAUAUGGGUGCAGCCAGUCUUAUCCUGCCUCAUACCCAGUAACCAACCCUCUACCAGUUUCUGCAAUUGUAAUUUGUAUUCUCUUGAUCUCUGCAAUCUUGCAACAGUGGCAAUACCUUCAGAGAUGAAUGCCAUUUCUACUGUGCCUGUUAGAAGCUCUAUCCUGUAACACACAAGCUGAUACACAACAGAACAGAACAGAACAGAACAUCCAGCAUGCCCUGGCAGCUCACUGCCUUCCUGCUGCCAACACUGAAGGUGCUAAAAAUGAGCUAUUUACUUUUCUGCAGUCUGAAGAAAAUACCUAGUUGUGCUAUACACCAAAACAUGAACUUGUAUAAUUGGGAUAUGAAGCAGGCACUAGCUGAGCCAUGUGGUCAGUGAGCUGGAGUGUUGGCAGCCUUCUGUAAUUCCUGCUGGGUGUUUUGUCCUUUCCUAUGCUGAGUUCAUGGUUUGGGUGGUUGAGCAGUCAAAUCGAGACACUUACUGAACACAGUUCAGGGAUGGCAGGGAAAGGUUAAUUGCAAGGUAUCUGAUUUUUUCUUCCAUUUAAAUGCUAGCAUUUUGUUUAAUGAUAACCACUUGAAAAAAUAUUUGUUUUAGAAAAAAAUAAUGCUGCCAAAAUAAACAACACUGAUCUGUGUUUAUGUUUUGGUAGAAACUCGAGGCCACUCUUGAAGGCAAAUGGCAAAUUGCUUUACUGGCCACAGCAAGUUAAUAAUGAACAUCAACAUUA
Molecule: non-coding RNA, 1892 nt
Organism: Sturnus vulgaris (Common starling)
Lineage: Eukaryota; Metazoa; Chordata; Aves; Passeriformes; Sturnidae
Source: RefSeq, a predicted model, not a curated record